UACGUAGGGCGCAAGCGUUAUCCGGAAUUAUUGGGCGUAAAGAGCGUGUAGGCGGCCAGGUAGGUCUGCUGUGAAAACUCGAGGCUCAACCUCGAGACGUCGGCGGAAACCAUCUGGCUAGAGUCCGGAAGAGGAGAGUGGAAUUCCUGGUGUAGCGGUGAAAUGCGCAGAUAUCAGGAAGAACACCCGUGGCGAAGGCGGCUCUCUGGGACGGUACUGACGCUGAGACGCGAAAGCGUGGGGAGCGAACAGG
RNAcentral lists this ribosomal RNA (253 nucleotides) under uncultured bacterium. RNAcentral describes it as "partial 16S ribosomal RNA". It matches the Rfam family "Bacterial small subunit ribosomal RNA", at positions 524 to 776 of the family's 1533-position model. The record is from RNAcentral.